UUUGAAGAAGUGAAAACACACUCUCAAAAAUUAAAAUGUCUACCUACCCACUCUGGACAUUUCUCUUUCCCUCUCUUCUAGAUCUAGCCAGUUCUCUCUCUCUCUCUCAGAUUUCUUUCAACUGAGCUGUAGAUGAAAGUCAAUUGGCUUCAAUUGAGAGUUAAACUUUCACAGAUCAAUGGAAAUAGGGACUCCUUGAACCGAUUCGAGCUUCAAACAAAACUAGGGUUUCAUGUUUGAAUUGGGGGUGUUUGGUUUUUGGUUCUGUUUUUGUGAGACUCUCUCUGUUUUGGUACUAAUUUUGUUUUAUCUCUUUGUUCCAGUGCUAAUUUGGGGUUGAAUAAGUUGGGACUUAGCUUAAGCUUCUACUUCAAGGUACUACUUUUAUUCAAUUCUUGUGUAUAUAUUUAUGAUUGGUGUGUAUAUGUUUUAUGAUUAUGUGUAUGAGUGGUGCGUAUCUCUGGUUUUAUUUUUAAUUGAAUGCCUCUGUUUUUGUUAUAUUAUGUCUCUGUUCACUCUAUAAUUUUCACACUCUCUCCCUGCCCCGUCUCUCUCUUUCUCUCCAUUUUUGGGGGUUUUACAUUUUGUUUUCCUUAUUUGUUUGAUUGUGAAUUUAAGCAGUUGAAAUUUGGGGAUUAUGUACACCAGUUAUUUAUUUUAGAUAGGCUUUAUAUUAGUGUCUGAGAGCGGAUGGAAAUCAGUUAUGAAUCUAACUUUUUGUUUUUCAUUAUUAUCUUUGACUGAUUGUCACUGUUAUGAUUUCUCUUUGUUGUGAUUUGUGUUCUAUGUAUGUCCAUGAGCGAAAAGCUAGCAUAAGAGAUUUUUAUGGUUAGUAAGCCUUGGAAAAUGAUAUUAGAAUUUUUUUUUUUGAUCAGUAAGAAUGUGUUAGGCUGCUAAGACAAGCAAAAGAAGAACAAGAGCAGAGAAUCCAUGAAGCUUUAACAGGAAAAUUUAAUGAAUGGGAAAACCACAAUAUAUAAGCUUGAAAGUGAGCUUCUAGAGCUCCAAAACCAGGUCUAGGAAGUUAAAGAUAAUGAUCCUAUUUGUAUUAAUCCUGGUGUUCAUCUGAAGCUGGUGUUUUUAUUAUUUGGUGCAGGUUUGCCUGCACUUUUUCUUCUCAUAUGUCUUGCUAUCUACACAGGAAAAAAAAUCAGUGACUAUCUCAUAUUUUCUACAGCCUUUCGUUGUUUUCAUGUUCUCUUUCUUGGUUAAUGCGAAUUAGCACAUGAAAUUUAUUUUGCAGAGGAUGAUGACAGAAGACCAAAGUACCUGGGCUUUUUUAAAUAUUUGUUCCAAAUAUAUUGAUUGUGAUAUUAAUUAAGUAUUUACCUAUUGCUUUUGUUUCUCCAUCCAGCAAAAUAUACAAAGUUUGUUUGAUGUUGUUGUCCAUGGUGUUAAUGAAGAUUAUGUGGAAAUGGCUCAAGGAUUUCACCAGGCUUGAGUUUCUUGCUAGUGGAACAGAUGACUCCUAUUGUCACAGCCUUGGAAUCACAUAUCCUGCACUUCAUUUAUGUAUGGAGAAGGGUGUAUUUUAGAGAAAAGGCUAGAGAGCACAGGCUAAUUGUUGUUACUUUUAGUUGGUUUUGAAUUGUUAGGUAAUUUGAUUUGGUUGGAUUUGUUAUGAAAUUUGUAAGAAAGAAUAGUUUAUUGGGA
RNAcentral lists this long non-coding RNA (1653 nucleotides) under Daucus carota (carrot). RNAcentral describes it as "long non-coding RNA (DCAR_LNC004195)". Lineage: Eukaryota; Viridiplantae; Streptophyta; Magnoliopsida; Apiales; Apiaceae. The record is from RNAcentral.